RNAcentral lists this ribosomal RNA (497 nucleotides) under uncultured bacterium. RNAcentral's name for it is "partial 16S ribosomal RNA". It matches the Rfam family "Bacterial small subunit ribosomal RNA", at positions 28 to 507 of the family's 1533-position model. The record is from RNAcentral.
GACGAACGCUGGCGGCGUGCCUAAUACAUGCAAGUUGAGCGCUGAAGGUUGGUACUUGUACCAACUGGAUGAGCAGCAAACGGGUGAGUAACGCGUGGGGAAUCUGCCUUUGAGCGGGGGACAACAUUUGGAAACGAAUGCUAAUACCGCAUAAAAACUUUAAACACAAGUUUUAAGUUUGAAAGAUGCAAUUGCAUCACUCAAAGAUGAUCCCGCGUUGUAUUAGCUAGUUGGUGAGGUAAAGGCUCACCAAGGCGAUGAUACAUAGCCGACCUGAGAGGGUGAGCGGCCACAUUGGGACUGAGACACGGCACAAACUCCUACGGGAGGCAGCAGUAGGGAAUCUUCGGCAAUGGACGAAAGUCUGACCGAGCAACGCCGCGUGAGUGAAGAAGGUUUUCGGAUCGUAAAACUCUGUUGGUGGAGAAGAACGUUGGUGAGAGUGGAAAGCUCAUCAAGUGACGGUAACUACCCAGAAAGGGACGGCUAACUACGUG